This 254-nucleotide ribosomal RNA is filed under the name uncultured bacterium. RNAcentral describes it as "partial 16S ribosomal RNA". It matches the Rfam family "Bacterial small subunit ribosomal RNA", at positions 524 to 776 of the family's 1533-position model. The record is from RNAcentral.
CACGUAGGGGGCGAGCGUUGUCCGGAUUUAUUGGGCGUAAAGAGCUCGUAGGCGGUUCGGCAAGUCGGGUGUGAAAUUUCGAGGCUCAACCUGGAGACGCCACCCGAUACUGCCAUGGCUAGAGUCCGGUAGGGGACCACGGAAUUCCUGGUGUAGCGGUGAAAUGCGCAGAUAUCAGGAGGAACACCGGUGGCGAAGGCGGUGGUCUGGGCCGGAACUGACGCUGAGGAGCGAAAGCGUGGGGAGCGAACAGG